GACGAACGCUGGCGGCGUGCCUAAUACAUGCAAGUAGAACGCUGAAGGAGGAGCUUGCUUCCCUGGAUGAGUUGCGAACGGGUGAGUAACGCGUAGGUAACAUGCCUGGUAGCGGGGGGUAACAAUUGGAAACGAUAGCUAAUACCGCAUAAAAGAAGAUGUUGCAUGAGAUUUGCUAGAAAGGUGCAAUUGCAUUACUACCAGUUGGUGCUGCGUCGUAUUAGUUAGUUGGUGGGGUAGAGGCUUACCAAGGCGACGAUACAUAGUCGACCCGGGAGGGGUGUCGGCCACACUUGGACUUGGACACGGCCCAGACUCCUACGGGAGGCAGCAGUAGGGAAUCUUCCGGAAUUGACGGAAGUCUUACCGAGCAACGGCGCGGUGGUUAAGGAGGUUCUCCGAUUGUAAAGCUCUGUUGUAAGAGAAGAACGAAUGGGAGAGUUGAAAGUUCACGCUUUGACGGUACCUUACCAGAAAGGGACGGCUAACUACGUG
This 495-nucleotide ribosomal RNA is filed under the name uncultured bacterium. RNAcentral's name for it is "partial 16S ribosomal RNA". It matches the Rfam family "Bacterial small subunit ribosomal RNA", at positions 28 to 507 of the family's 1533-position model. The record is from RNAcentral.